RNAcentral lists this ribosomal RNA (761 nucleotides) under Microbacterium aurantiacum. Its description in RNAcentral is "partial 16S ribosomal RNA". It matches the Rfam family "Bacterial small subunit ribosomal RNA", at positions 48 to 822 of the family's 1533-position model. The record is from RNAcentral. Lineage: Bacteria; Bacillati; Actinomycetota; Actinomycetes; Micrococcales; Microbacteriaceae.
UUAACACAUGCAAGUCGAACGGUGAAGCCAAGCUUGCUUGGUGGAUCAGUGGCGAACGGGUGAGUAACACGUGAGCAACCUGCCCUGGACUCUGGGAUAAGCGCUGGAAACGGCGUCUAAUACUGGAUAUGAGACGUGAUCGCAUGGUCGUGUUUGGAAAGAUUUUUCGGUCUGGGAUGGGCUCGCGGCCUAUCAGCUUGUUGGUGAGGUAAUGGCUCACCAAGGCGUCGACGGGUAGCCGGCCUGAGAGGGUGACCGGCCACACUGGGACUGAGACACGGCCCAGACUCCUACGGGAGGCAGCAGUGGGGAAUAUUGCACAAUGGGCGGAAGCCUGAUGCAGCAACGCCGCGUGAGGGAUGACGGCCUUCGGGUUGUAAACCUCUUUUAGCAGGGAAGAAGCGAAAGUGACGGUACCUGCAGAAAAAGCGCCGGCUAACUACGUGCCAGCAGCCGCGGUAAUACGUAGGGCGCAAGCGUUAUCCGGAAUUAUUGGGCGUAAAGAGCUCGUAGGCGGUUUGUCGCGUCUGCUGUGAAAUCCCGAGGCUCAACCUCGGGCCUGCAGUGGGUACGGGCAGACUAGAGUGCGGUAGGGGAGAUUGGAAUUCCUGGUGUAGCGGUGGAAUGCGCAGAUAUCAGGAGGAACACCGAUGGCGAAGGCAGAUCUCUGGGCCGUAACUGACGCUGAGGAGCGAAAGGGUGGGGAGCAAACAGGCUUAGAUACCCUGGUAGUCCACCCCGUAAACGUUGGGAACUAGUUG